GGUCCGUUGGUCAAGAGGUUAAGACACCGCCCUUUCACGGCGGAAUCGGGGGUUCAAUUCCCCCACGGAUCACCA
Molecule: transfer RNA, 75 nt
Filed under: Clostridia bacterium
Lineage: Bacteria; Bacillati; Bacillota; Clostridia
Also listed under: 1 other name
Description: tRNA-Glu
Rfam family: tRNA
About the family: Transfer RNA (tRNA) molecules are approximately 80 nucleotides in length.
Source: RNAcentral